This 391-nucleotide ribosomal RNA is filed under the name uncultured bacterium. Its description in RNAcentral is "bacterial SSU rRNA". It matches the Rfam family "Bacterial small subunit ribosomal RNA", at positions 29 to 446 of the family's 1533-position model. The record is from RNAcentral.
AGCGAACGCUGGCGGCAGGCUUAACACAUGCAAGUCGAACGGGCGUAGCAAUACGUCAGUGGCAGACGGGUGAGUAACGCGUGGGAACGUACCUUUUGGUUCGGAACAACCCAGGGAACUUGGGCUAAUACCGGAUAAGUCCUUACGGGGAAAGAUUUAUCGCCGAAAGAUCGGCCCGCGUCUGGAUUAGCUAGUUGGUGUGGUAACGGCGCACCAAGGCGACGAUCAGUAGCUGGUCUGAGAGGAUGAUCAGCCACAUUGGGACUGAGACACGGCCCAAACUCCUACGGGAGGCAGCAGUGGGAAUAUUGGACAAUGGGCGCAAGCCUGAUCCAGCCAUGCCGCGUGAGUGAUGAAGGCCCUAGGGUUGUAAAGCUCUUUUGUGCGGGAA